GUCACCGCUUAGUGAAGGCUAAUAGUAACAACUAUUUAUAUGGAACAUUUACAAAAUCACCAGCACUGUGCAGAGAAUUUGACAUGAUCCUAACUAAGUCACCUCCCCAGAGCUUACCCUGGAUUUUUUUAUUAUCCCCAUUUUUUAGAUUAAGAACUAAGGCUGUGAGCAGGGAAAUACCUUGCCCAAGGCUACAUUGCUGAUUUUACAGACUGGAGAAUUGAGGCCCAGAAUGUCUAACCCUGCCAGAGCCAAAGAGCAAGAAGGAGUCAACUUCAAUUCCAUGUCUUUGCCAGCUGGAGAGGCCCAUGGGACAAGGAACUGAGGGAGGCCAUCCACCAUUGCAAUGAAGGAACAGAGGCCCUCAGCCCAGUCACCCUGGAGGGACUGAAUUCCAACAACAACUAUGAGUGAGCCCAGAAUUGGAGCCUUCAGAUGAGACCACAACCCUGGCUAACACCUUGAUUGCAGCUUUGUGAGAGAUCCUAAGCCAGAGGCCCCCAGCUAAGUGAUACAUGGAUUUCUGACCCACAGAAACUGUGCAGCUAUGGUUGACUCACUGCUGCCUGAAGCU
This 574-nucleotide long non-coding RNA is filed under the name Homo sapiens (human). RNAcentral's name for it is "HSALNT0269172". The record is from RNAcentral. Lineage: Eukaryota; Metazoa; Chordata; Mammalia; Primates; Hominidae.